AAUUUACCUGUAUUUGAGUACCUGCUAUGUGAGAGGCACAUUGCUGAGUGCUAUUUUCUGCUUCGCAAUGUUAUAAAGCACAUUUUGACCUCUGGGAACACACAGGGUAUCUCAG
This 115-nucleotide long non-coding RNA is filed under the name Neogale vison (American mink). Its description in RNAcentral is "Neovison vison (American mink) ST7 overlapping transcript 3 conserved region 3 (ENSNVIG00000002449.1)". It matches the Rfam family "ST7 overlapping transcript 3 conserved region 3". The record is from RNAcentral. Lineage: Eukaryota; Metazoa; Chordata; Mammalia; Carnivora; Mustelidae.